ACUCGAGUGGCGGACGGGUGAGUAACACGUGGGUGAUCUGCCUUGCACUUCGGGAUAAGCCUGGGAAACUGGGUCUAAUACCGGAUAGGACCAUGCUUUAGUGUGUGUGGUGGAAAGUUUUUCGGUGCAAGAUGAGCCCGCGGCCUAUCAGCUUGUUGGUGGGGUAAUGGCCUACCAAGGCGACGACGGGUAGCCGGCCUGAGAGGGUGUACGGCCACAUUGGGACUGAGACACGGCCCAG
This 241-nucleotide ribosomal RNA is filed under the name uncultured Actinomycetales bacterium. Its description in RNAcentral is "partial 16S ribosomal RNA". It matches the Rfam family "Bacterial small subunit ribosomal RNA", at positions 89 to 334 of the family's 1533-position model. The record is from RNAcentral. Lineage: Bacteria; Bacillati; Actinomycetota; Actinomycetes; Actinomycetales.